GACGAACGCUGGCGGCGUGCUUAACACAUGCAAGUCGAACGGAAAGGCCUCAGCUUGCUGGGGUACUCGAGUGGCGAGCGGGUGAGUAACACGUGGGUGAUCUGCCUUGCACUCUGGGAUAAGCUUGGGAAACUGGGUCUAAUACCGGAUAUGAACUGCCUUUAGUGUGGUGGUUGGAAAGUUUUUUCGGUGCAAGAUGAGCUCGCGGCCUAUCAGCUUGUUGGUGGGGUAAUGGCCUACCAAGGCGUCGACGGGUAGCCGGCCUGAGAGGGUGUACGGCCACAUUGGGACUGAGAUACGGCCCAGACUCCUACGGGAGGCAGUAGUGGGGAAUAUUGCACAAUGGGCGGAAGCCUGAUGCAGCGACGCCGCGUGGGGGAUGACGGCCUUCGGGUUGUAAACUCCUUUCGACAGGGACGAAGCUUUUUGUGACGGUACCUGUAUAAGAAGCACCGGCUAACUACGUG
Molecule: ribosomal RNA, 467 nt
Filed under: uncultured bacterium
Lineage: Bacteria
Description: partial 16S ribosomal RNA
Rfam family: Bacterial small subunit ribosomal RNA
Source: RNAcentral